This 253-nucleotide ribosomal RNA is filed under the name uncultured bacterium. RNAcentral's name for it is "partial 16S ribosomal RNA". It matches the Rfam family "Bacterial small subunit ribosomal RNA", at positions 524 to 776 of the family's 1533-position model. The record is from RNAcentral.
CACGUAGGGGGCGAGCGUUGUCCGGAUUUAUUGGGCGUAAAGAGCGUGUAGGCGGCUUUACAGGUCCGUUGUGAAAACUCGAGGCUCAACCUCGAGACGCCGGUGGAAACCGUAAAGCUAGAGUCCGGAAGAGGAGAGUGGAAUUCCUGGUGUAGCGGUGAAAUGCGUAGAGAUGUGGAGGAAUACCGAUGGCGAAGGCAGCCUCCUGGGCCAACACUGACGCUCAUGCACGAAAGCGUGGGGAGCAAACAGG